AGAAGCGUAAACCUAGAAAUAAAAAAAAAAUGGCGACAAGUUUCGUGUGCAGGGCAUCGGCAACUAAUCAGACCUUAAGCUUCUUCAGAUUGUCUUUCAACUUCCUCAAAAGCUUCAGCACUUCUGCUCCCUCCGCUAAUGCCUCUUCCACUUCCUCGAGAAACCCAACCGAAAAAAGAAGAAGAACUUGUUCGAGGUUGCUCAGUUUUUGCCCAAUUGGGGAAUCGGUUAUCACAUGGCUAAAUCUCAUUGGGAAAACGUCUCUUAUGAGAUUACUAAGAUCAAUCUCUACAAGGAUGGUAGGCAUGGAAAAGCCUGGGGGAUUGCUUAUAAAGACGGAAUUCCUG
RNAcentral lists this unclassified non-coding RNA (347 nucleotides) under Hevea brasiliensis (rubber tree). Lineage: Eukaryota; Viridiplantae; Streptophyta; Magnoliopsida; Malpighiales; Euphorbiaceae. The record is from RNAcentral.